UUGCUUCAGAAGCACAUAUACUAAAAUUGGAACAAUACAGAGAAGAUCAGCAUAGCCCCUGCACAAGGAUGACAUGCAAAUCUGUGAAGUGUUUCAUAGAUUU
This is a small nuclear RNA of Nycticebus coucang (slow loris), 103 nucleotides long. Lineage: Eukaryota; Metazoa; Chordata; Mammalia; Primates; Lorisidae. The record is from RefSeq and is a predicted model, not a curated record.